CAACAAUGGAAUGUGGAACCAGAUAAGGGUGGACCAUGGAAAAGAGUUUUUCUUGACUCUAUUUAUGCAAGAAAUUCUUGCUGACCGCAGAAUGAAUACAGCAACACCACCAUAUCGUCAGACCACAUCAACAAAGAAUCACACAAUUGAGAGAAUUUGGCCUGAAAUAAACAACAGGGUUAAUUACCCUUUGAAGGAGGCUCUUGUUCAGCUGGUCGACCAAUAACUGAUUGAUAUGGACUGCAACCUAACAAGAUACUGUGUGUCUAACCUUGUCUGUCAGCUGUGUCAUCUGGGCAUUAGCAGGGUAGUAGAGGCAUGGAACAACCACAGGAUUCCUGGAAAAGGAAUCUCCAACCAGAUUGCACAGGGUGGUGGUUGUGCAAAAAAAAUCUCAGCAGCACUACUGCCUCAUGGAACUGAAGCAGCUGAUCUGUACAUGAACACACUGGGAUCAUCUUUGACAAGGGUUUCGGCCUUUGGAACAGACCCUUUUACAAGUGAACAUGAGAAGGCUACAGUGGAACAACUGUUUUCAGAAAAGUGGCCAGACAUCACUUACUUGCUCAAUAAUACGGUCAACAAAAACUUUUUGCCUUUUAAAGAGGCUUUGGUCUGUUUAGUAAAUUUAACUCAAAGAUACUCUUAAAGAGCAUGCCUUCUAAUUGUUCAAUGCUGCUUUCAGUGUUUUUUCUAGAAACAAAAUAUUACACACAAAUUUAAGCAUCAACAUGAUGCUGAUAAAUUAAAGUAUUUCUUUUUAGUUCUUGUUUUAAGUAGUUGUGCAACAAAACUUUACACAACAACUGUCAAAUAAACUACUGAACUAAACUUGAAUUGCUGAACAGCUAAACAUUUUUUCCUGGGUAAUGUA
This is a long non-coding RNA of Carassius auratus (goldfish), 874 nucleotides long. RefSeq lists it as uncharacterized. Lineage: Eukaryota; Metazoa; Chordata; Actinopteri; Cypriniformes; Cyprinidae. The transcript has 3 exons. The record is from RefSeq and is a predicted model, not a curated record.